RNAcentral lists this ribosomal RNA (461 nucleotides) under uncultured bacterium. RNAcentral's name for it is "bacterial SSU rRNA". It matches the Rfam family "Bacterial small subunit ribosomal RNA", at positions 917 to 1382 of the family's 1533-position model. The record is from RNAcentral.
GGGCCCGCACAAGCAGUGGAGUAUGUGGUUUAAUUCGAAGCAACGCGAAGAACCUUACCAGGACUUGACAUCCCUUGAUCGCCGUAGAGAUACGGUUUCCCUUCGGGGCAAGGAGACAGGUGGUGCAUGGUUGUCGUCAGCUCGUGUCGUGAGAUGUUGGGUUAAGUCCCGCAACGAGCGCAACCCCUGUUGUUAGUUGCCAUCAUUAAGUUGGGCACUCUAGCGAGACUGCCGGUGACAAAUCGGAGGAAGGUGGGGACGACGUCAAAUCAUCAUGCCCCUUAUGUCCUGGGCUACACACGUACUACAAUGGCUAUUACAGCAGGAAGCAAGAUCGCAAGAUGGAGCUAAUCCUCAAAAAUAGUCCCAGUUCAGAUUGUGGGCUGAAACUCGCCCACAUGAAGUCGGAAUUGCUAGUAAUUGCAGGUCAGCAUACUGCAGUGAAUACGUUCCCGGGCCUU